Molecule: ribosomal RNA, 1303 nt
Filed under: Sternaspis chinensis
Lineage: Eukaryota; Metazoa; Annelida; Polychaeta; Terebellida; Sternaspidae
Description: 16S ribosomal RNA
Rfam family: Bacterial large subunit ribosomal RNA (bases 809-1198)
Source: RNAcentral
GCUUCGACUAACCUUUCUUCUUACUUCACCCCUUUUAUUUUAAACCAUUAAUAUAUUUACCUGAGAACUAUCCUUAUCUUUUUCUAGUACUAUAUAGGAACCUCCCUCUAUUUAAUUAGUAGUUAUUAAUUAACGUACCUUUUGCAUCAUGGUUUAGCAAGAAAAAUUUUAAACUAAUAAUCCCCGAAAAUUAAGCGAGCUGAGCCUUUUUUGCUAAGAGCCCCCUUUCUCUUGUUACAAAAAGUUUUCCAAAAAUAGGCCCAGAGGCUACAUACCCUCGCGCUAAUUAAUAGCUGGUUGUUCAAUAACUUUAUAUUAGUAAACCAAGCAAACUUUGCUAUGUUAUAAAAUAAAGGAUAAGCUUUAUUUUUUUCGUAAUAUCAUCCCCACUAUUAAUUUGUAGGCCUAAAAGUAGCCACCCUAUAAAAGUGUUAUAACUUUUUUCUUUAAAUUUUUCAUCUAAGAUACGAACUCAAUUGAACUUCUUCUAUAAACCCACUACUAUAAAUUUCUGCUAAUAUUAAUACUAUAAUUUCCCUUAUUUUUCCCCUAAAACCCCCUCCCUAAUAAUUUUAUAUACCUCAAACUCUUUAAAGGAACUCGGCAAAUAAGAACUUCGACUGUUUAUCAAAAACAUUGCCUCUUGUUAAAAUAUAAAAGGUACAUCCUGCCCAGUGACUUAAAGUUCAACGGCCGCGGUACCCUGACCGUGCUAAGGUAGCAUAAUCAUUUGCCUCUUAAUUAGUGGCUAGUAUGAAUGGACAAACGAAAGUUCCCCUGUCUCUAUUUAGCCAAUGAAAAUUAAUCUUCAGGUGAAGAAGCCUGAAUUUUCUUAAAAGACAAAAAGACCCUAUUGAGCUUUAUUCUAAUUCUAGACAUCUAUAAUAAAAAUAAAAUUUUCUCUAAAAUAAGAAUUUUGCUGGGGCAGCAAAGGAACACCCAAAAAUUCCUUUUUCAAAAGACUUAUUAGUCCACCUAAAUGAUCCAUUUUUAUGAUUAACAAAACUAGCUACCAUAGGGAUAACAGGCUAAUUUUUCUCUAGAGCUCAAAUUGACAGAAAAGAUUGGCACCUCGAUGUUGGCUUAGGAUAUCCUUAGGGCGCAAAAGCUCUAAAAGGUAGGUUUGUUCAACCUUUAAAAUCCUACAUGAGCUGAGUUCAGACCGGCGAAAGCCAGGUCAGUUUCUAUCUUUAAUUUAAUCCUUAACCAAUAGUACGAAAGGACCUUGAGUUAAAAAACACUUUUAUUUCCUGAAUUCAAAUAACACCUCUAUAAACAAUUAAUUCCUUGAAUCUAAUAGGUU